AUUGAACGCUGGCGGCAGGCCUAACACAUGCAAGUCGAGCGAGCGGCGGACGGGUGAGUAAUGUAUGGGAAACUGCCUGAUGGAGGGGGAUAACUACUGGAAACGGUAGCUAAUACAGCAUACCAUCAGAUGGGCCCAGAUGGGAUUAGCUAGGGGGUGGGGUAACGUCUCACCUGGGCGACGAUCCCUAGCUGGUCUGCGAGGAUGACCAGGCACACUGGAACUGUGACACGGCCCAGACUCCUACGGGAGGCAGCAGUGGGGAAUUUUGCACAAGGGGAGAAAGCCUGAUGCAGCCAUGCCGCGUGUGUGAAGAAGGCCUUCGGGUUGUAAAGCACUUUCAGCGGUGAGGCGUUACCCGCAGAAGAAGCACCGGCUAACUCCGUGCCAGCAGCCGCGGUAAUAC
This 406-nucleotide ribosomal RNA is filed under the name uncultured bacterium. RNAcentral describes it as "partial 16S ribosomal RNA". It matches the Rfam family "Bacterial small subunit ribosomal RNA", at positions 30 to 526 of the family's 1533-position model. The record is from RNAcentral.